UACGUAGGUGGCAAGCGUUGUCCGGAUUUACUGGGCGUAAAGAGCGCGCAGGCGGUCGUCCAAGUCGCGUGUGAAAGCCCCCGGCUCAACUGGGGAGGGUCACGCGAUACUGGUCGACUCGAAGGCAGGAGAGGGUAGUGGAAUUCCCGGUGUAGUGGUGAAAUUCGUAGAUAUCGGGAGGAACACCAGUGGCGAAGGCGACUACCUGGCCUGUUCUUGACGCUGAGGCGCGAAAGCUAGGGGAGCAAACGGG
Molecule: ribosomal RNA, 253 nt
Filed under: uncultured bacterium
Lineage: Bacteria
Description: partial 16S ribosomal RNA
Rfam family: Bacterial small subunit ribosomal RNA
Source: RNAcentral